Molecule: long non-coding RNA, 409 nt
Filed under: Anser brachyrhynchus (Pink-footed goose)
Lineage: Eukaryota; Metazoa; Chordata; Aves; Anseriformes; Anatidae
Description: lncRNA (ENSABRG00000017497.1)
Source: RNAcentral
CCGCUCUCGCCCCCCGACGGCGCCGGCCGUGCAGCGACCCCUCCGCGUCCCGGCUGAACUCUCCUCCCCCGGACCGGCCGGGGGUGGGACUUGUCACUGGGAUGCAGGAGCUCCACACCGGGGAGAGAGGGGUUGCCGUUGAAGAAAAUGCAGCAUCCUUGGAUAAAACACCUGAAGCUCAUGAAUGGUGAACAGCAAGGAUUGCUUCAAGAAUAUUGAUUCCAGAAUCUAGCAAGGAAGACAUUAAGAAAAUUUUAAAAUUUCUGGUUUUCCCAGGGGACCACACCCAAGUAGCAUUAGGCAAGAAAUUAUAGGGUUUUCUUGUCCUAUAAAAAGCUAGCAGGCUUAGUGAUAUUUCCAUCUAAAUCAUUUCCAGUAUUUCUUCUGAAAUAUCCAAAGCCAUUAAAAC